RNAcentral lists this ribosomal RNA (292 nucleotides) under uncultured bacterium. RNAcentral's name for it is "partial 16S ribosomal RNA". It matches the Rfam family "Bacterial small subunit ribosomal RNA", at positions 505 to 796 of the family's 1533-position model. The record is from RNAcentral.
GUGUCAGCCGCCGCGGUAAUACGGAGGGUGCAAGCGUUAUCCGGAUUCACUGGGUUUAAAGGGUGCGUAGGCGGGCUUGUAAGUCAGUGGUGAAAGCCCGGGGCUUAACUCCGGAACUGCCGUUGAUACUGCAAGCCUUGAGUACAGUUGAGGUGGGCGGAAUACAUCAUGUAGAGGUGAAAUUCUUAGAUAUGAUGUAGAACACCGAUUGCGAAGGCAGCUCACUAAAGUGUAACUGACGCUGAGGCACGAAAGCGUGGGGAUCAAACAGGAUUAGAUACCCGCGUAGUCC